Molecule: small nucleolar RNA, 139 nt
Filed under: Lachancea fermentati
Lineage: Eukaryota; Fungi; Ascomycota; Saccharomycetes; Saccharomycetales; Saccharomycetaceae
Description: Small nucleolar RNA snR190
Rfam family: Small nucleolar RNA snR190
Source: Rfam by way of RNAcentral
GGCCAUGACGAUAACGGUCUCUUCUUUCCCAGUCCGAUUCGACCAUGACGACAGGGGAUCUACCACGCUACGCUUCGACAGAGGCGUGGCUUUUCUUGCCAGUGCUCUUCGUGAGCACAACAUUGCAUAAGUCUGAGCC